AUACGGAGGGUGCGAGCGUUAAUCGGAAUUACUGGGCGUAAAGCGCGCGUAGGCGGUUUGUUAAGUCGGAUGUGAAAUCCCCGGGCUCAACCUGGGACCUGCAUCCGAUACUGGCAGGCUAGAGUCUGGUAGAGGGGGGUAGAAUUCCUGGUGUAGCGGUGAAAUGCGUGGAUAUCAGGAGGAAUACCAGUGGCGAAGGCGGCCCCCUGGACUGAGACUGACGCUGAGGUGCGGAAGCGUGGGGAGCGAACAGGAUUAGAAACCCCAGUAGUCC
This 274-nucleotide ribosomal RNA is filed under the name uncultured bacterium. Its description in RNAcentral is "partial 16S ribosomal RNA". It matches the Rfam family "Bacterial small subunit ribosomal RNA", at positions 523 to 796 of the family's 1533-position model. The record is from RNAcentral.